GAUGAACGCUGGCGGCGUGCUUAACACAUGCCAGUCGAACGAAGCACUUUAUUUGAUUUCCUUCGGGACUGAUUAUUUUGUGACUGAGUGGCAGACGGGUGAGUAACGCGUGGGUAACCUGCCUUGUACAGGGGGAUAACAGUUGGAAACGGCUGCUAAUACCGCAUAAGCGCACAGCAUCGCAUGAUGCAGUGUGAAAAACUCCGGUGGUAUAAGAUGGACCCGCGUUGGAUUAGCUAGUUGGUGAGGUAACGGCCCACCAAGGCGACGAUCCAUAGCCGACCUGAGAGGGUGACCGGCCACAUUGGGACUGAGACACGGCCCAAACUCCUACGGGAGGCAGCAGUGGGGAAUAUUGCACAAUGGGCGAAAGCCUGAUGCAGCGACGCCGCGUGAGCGAAGAAGUAUUUCGGUAUGUAAAGCUCUAUCAGCAGGGAAGAUAAUGACGGUACCUGACUAAGAAGCACCGGCUAAAUACGUG
RNAcentral lists this ribosomal RNA (481 nucleotides) under uncultured bacterium. RNAcentral's name for it is "partial 16S ribosomal RNA". It matches the Rfam family "Bacterial small subunit ribosomal RNA", at positions 28 to 507 of the family's 1533-position model. The record is from RNAcentral.